GGAAUAUUGGACAAUGGGUGAAACCCUGAUCCAGCGACGCCGCGUGAGUGAAGAAGUAUUUCGGAAUGUAAAGCUCUAUCAGCAGGGAAGAAAGAAAUGACGGUACCUGACUAAGAAGCCCCUGCUAACUACGUGCCAGCAGCCGCGGUAAUACGUAGGGGGCAAGCGUUAUCCGCAUUUACUGGGUGUAAAGGGAGCGUAGACGGUGAAGCAAGGCUGAAGUGAAAGGCGGGGGCUCAACCCCCGGACUGCUUUGGAAACUGUUUGACUGGAGUGCAGGAGAGGUAAGUGGAAUUCCUAGUGUAGCGGUGAAAUGCGUAGAUAUUAGGAGGAACACCAGUGGCGAAGGCGGCUUACUGGACUGUAACUGACGUUGAGGCUCGAAAGCGUGGGGAGCAAACA
Molecule: ribosomal RNA, 402 nt
Filed under: uncultured bacterium
Lineage: Bacteria
Description: bacterial SSU rRNA
Rfam family: Bacterial small subunit ribosomal RNA
Source: RNAcentral